This is an RNA transcript of Capsella rubella, 3301 nucleotides long. It is a transcript of the gene named coatomer subunit beta'-3, with no coding region annotated. The transcript has 26 exons. The record is from RefSeq and is a predicted model, not a curated record. Lineage: Eukaryota; Viridiplantae; Streptophyta; Magnoliopsida; Brassicales; Brassicaceae.
UUGAUAAAUCUCCAUCGUAUUAUAUAAAACAAAGCUCGCUCUCUGCACGCACUCUACGCCGAGCCUUCUUAACGUCUUUCUCCGAUCGUCGGUCUACAGAUUUAAGCGAUAACACUAGAUCCGACGAGACCAGAUCCUCUGCUUAGUCGCUAACAAUGCCUCUCAGACUCGAUAUCAAGAGAAAAUUUGCUCAACGAUCAGAGAGAGUCAAAUCUGUGGAUCUGCAUCCUACAGAACCAUGGAUUCUAGCAAGUUUGUAUUCUGGAACCCUGUGUAUUUGGAACUACCAGACACAGACGAUUACAAAAUCCUUCGAGGUGACCGAAUUGCCAGUGAGGUCAGCCAAGUUUAUUCCACGCAAGCAAUGGGUUGUGGCUGGAGCUGAUGAUAUGUACAUCCGUGUAUACAAUUACAAUACAAUGGACAAGGUCAAAGUAUUCGAGGCUCAUUCGGAUUACAUUAGGUGUGUAGCUGUCCAUCCAACCCUUCCAUAUGUGCUAUCAUCUUCUGAUGAUAUGCUCAUAAAGCUUUGGGACUGGGAAAAUGGUUGGGCUUGUACUCAGAUAUUUGAGGGGCAUUCGCACUAUGUGAUGCAAGUGGUAUUCAAUCCAAAAGACACCAACACUUUUGCCAGUGCAUCGCUUGAUCGGACCAUAAAGAUAUGGAAUCUUGGUUCCCCAGACCCAAAUUUUACACUGGAUGCUCAUCAGAAAGGAGUCAACUGCGUAGAUUAUUUCACAGGGGGUGACAAACCCUACUUAAUUACUGGCUCUGAUGAUCAUACUGCUAAGGUAUGGGACUAUCAAACCAAGAGUUGUGUUCAGACGCUAGAUGGACACACACACAAUGUAUCUGCCGUAUGUUUCCAUCCUGAGCUUCCAAUAAUAAUCACAGGUUCUGAGGAUGGCACUGUUCGCAUUUGGCACUCCACGACUUACAGGCUAGAAAACACAUUGAAUUACGGUCUUGAGAGAGUUUGGGCCAUUGGUUACAUCAAAAGUUCGCGGCGGGUUGUGAUUGGAUAUGAUGAAGGAACCAUCAUGGUUAAACUUGGACGAGAAAUUCCUGUUGCUAGCAUGGACAGUAGCGGAAAAAUCAUAUGGGCUAAGCAUAAUGAAAUUCAAACUGCAAACAUCAAAAGUAUUGGUGCAGGUUACGAGGCUACUGAUGGAGAAAGACUUCCCUUGUCUGUUAAAGAGCUGGGGACCUGUGAUCUUUAUCCACAAAGCUUGAAGCACAACCCUAAUGGGAGGUUUGUCGUUGUUUGUGGUGAUGGAGAGUACAUAAUCUACACAGCUUUAGCUUGGAGAAAUAGAUCUUUCGGGUCUGGGCUGGAAUUUGUUUGGUCAUCCGAGGGGGAAUGUGCAGUUAGAGAAAGUUCAUCAAAGAUAAAGAUAUUCAGUAAAAAUUUCCAGGAAAGGAAGAGUAUUCGGCCUACUUUCUCAGCUGAGAAGAUCUUUGGAGGAACCUUGUUAGCAAUGUGUUCAAAUGAUUUCAUCUGCUUUUAUGAUUGGGCUGAAUGCAGGCUGAUUCAACAAAUUGAUGUCACAGUAAAGAAUCUUUAUUGGGCCGAAAGUGGUGAUUUAGUAGCCAUUGCUAGUGAUACGUCAUUCUACAUCUUGAAGUACAAUCGUGACUUGGUUUCCUCGCAUUUUGAUAGUGGAAGGCCAACUGAUGAAGAGGGUGUUGAUGAUGCUUUCGAGGUUCUCCACGAAAUGGACGAACGUGUCAGGACAGGUAUAUGGUUUGGGGACUGCUUCAUUUACAACAACUCUUCUUGGAAGCUUAACUAUUGUGUUGGAGGCGAGGUAACCACAAUGUAUCAUUUGGACCGCCCAAUGUAUCUGUUAGGCUAUAUUGCCAACCAAAGCCGGGUGUACUUAGUAGACAAAGAAUUCAAUGUCAUAGGAUAUACCUUGCUCCUUAGCCUGAUUGAAUACAAGACUCUUGUGAUGCGAGGCGAUUUGGAUAAAGCGAAUCAAAUUUUACCUACAAUUCCUAAAGAGCAGCAUAACAGUGUUGCUCAUUUCUUGGAAUCUCGGGGAAUGAUUGAAGAUGCUUUAGAAAUUGCUACAGAUCCUGACUACAAAUUUGAUCUGGCCAUACAAUUGGGUAGACUUGAAAUUGCAAAGGAAAUUGCUGAAGAAGUACAGAGCGAGUCUAAAUGGAAGCAGUUAGGAGAGUUAGCCAUGUCCUCUGGGAAGCUGCAACUGGCCGAGGAUUGCAUGAAGUAUGCUAUGGAUUUGAGUGGUUUGUUACUACUAUAUUCUUCUUUGGGAGAUGCUGAAGGGGUGUCAAAACUUGCAUGCCUUGCUAAGGAACAGGGGAAGAACAAUGUUGCCUUUCUUUGCUUAUUUACGCUGGGUAGAUUGGAAGAUUGUCUGCAGUUAUUGGUAGAGAGUAACCGGAUACCAGAAGCUGCGCUGAUGGCACGAUCUUAUCUUCCAAGCAAAGUUUCAGAGAUAGUAGCUCUUUGGAGAGAAGAUCUCAGCAAGGUUAAUUCAAAAGCAGCAGAAUCUUUAGCUGAUCCGGAAGAGUACCCAAAUCUUUUUGAGGAUUGGCAAGUAGCUCUUUCUGUUGAAGCAAACACAGCAGAGACAAGGGGAGUUUAUACUGCUGCAGAAAAUUAUCCAUCCCAUGCCGAUAAAUCCUCCAUUACCCUCGUGGAAGCCUUUAGAAACCUGCAAGUUGAAGCAGAGGAAUCACUUGAAAAUGGAGAUAUCAAUCACGAGGUAGCAGAGGAAAACGGUCAUGUAGGGAAUGAAGGAGCUGAAGAGAAACAAGAAGAAGAAGAAGUGAAUGAAGAAGAGGGAGUGGUGGAUGCAGACUCUACGGAUGGCGCUGUACUAGUUAAUGGAAGUGAGGCUGAAGAAGAGUGGGGUACGGAUAACAAAGGAAACCCAUCAGCCUAAUAAGCAAGUCAGUCCUGGAUCAAUGUAGAAAAGUCGAAAUUUUGUCUCUGUGCUUACACCACAUCCCUAGCUAGUUCCAUUAGCGGCCAGUUAUACUCAAAGGAAUCAAUUCUUGGUGGAAGAUAAAAGAAGAUAUGGUGGAGAUUAGAGAUAAAAGAAGAUUGGGAUUGGGUGGGAUAAAGGAAGUAGUAGUUUCAUUUGUGUUUUCUUGGGAUCCCCUUGGUGGUGGUGGUGUUGUGGUUUUCAUAUAAUUACUAUACAGUAUUAUAAAAGCUACAUUUAGGGAGUUUUACAUUCUUCUGCUAUAGAUUUCAACUCAUGUUCACAGAUUUCUGGUGCAUAUAUAUAAUAAUUCUUUUGGAAGCCUUAUAUAUGAUACCCUUUUGAUU